GGGUUGUGAGGUUAAGCGACUAAGCGUACACGGUGGAUGCCCUGGCAGUCAGAGGCGAUGAAGGACGUGCUAAUCUGCGAUAAGCGUCGGUAAGGUGAUAUGAACCGUUAUAACCGGCGAUUUCCGAAUGGGGAAACCCAGUGUGUUUCGACACACUAUCAUUAACUGAAUCCAUAGGUUAAUGAGGCGAACCGGGGGAACUGAAACAUCUAAGUACCCCGAGGAAAAGAAAUCAACCGAGAUUCCCCCAGUAGCGGCGAGCGAACGGGGAGCAGCCCAGAGCCUGAAUCAGUGUGUGUGUUAGUGGAAGCGUCUGGAAAGGCGCGCGAUACAGGGUGACAGCCCCGUACACAAAAAUGCACAUGCUGUGAGCUCGAUGAGUAGGGCGGGACACGUGGUAUCCUGUCUGAAUAUGGGGGGACCAUCCUCCAAGGCUAAAUACUCCUGACUGACCGAUAGUGAACCAGUACCGUGAGGGAAAGGCGAAAAGAACCCCGGCGAGGGGAGUGAAAAAGAACCUGAAACCGUGUACGUACAAGCAGUGGGAGCACGCUUAGGCGUGUGACUGCGUACCUUUUGUAUAAUGGGUCAGCGACUUAUAUUCUGUAGCAAGGUUAACCGAAUAGGGGAGCCGAAGGGAAACCGAGUCUUAACUGGGCGUUAAGUUGCAGGGUAUAGACCCGAAACCCGGUGAUCUAGCCAUGGGCAGGUUGAAGGUUGGGUAACACUAACUGGAGGACCGAACCGACUAAUGUUGAAAAAUUAGCGGAUGACUUGUGGCUGGGGGUGAAAGGCCAAUCAAACCGGGAGAUAGCUGGUUCUCCCCGAAAGCUAUUUAGGUAGCGCCUCGUGAACUCAUCUCCGGGGGUAGAGCACUGUUUCGGCAAGGGGGUCAUCCCGACUUACCAACCCGAUGCAAACUGCGAAUACCGGAGAAUGUUAUCACGGGAGACACACGGCGGGUGCUAACGUCCGUCGUGAAGAGGGAAACAACCCAGACCGCCAGCUAAGGUCCCAAAGUCAUGGUUAAGUGGGAAACGAUGUGGGAAGGCCCAGACAGCCAGGAUGUUGGCUUAGAAGCAGCCAUCAUUUAAAGAAAGCGUAAUAGCUCACUGGUCGAGUCGGCCUGCGCGGAAGAUGUAACGGGGCUAAACCAUGCACCGAAGCUGCGGCAGCGACGCUUAUGCGUUGUUGGGUAGGGGAGCGUUCUGUAAGCCUGUGAAGGUGUGCUGUGAGGCAUGCUGGAGGUAUCAGAAGUGCGAAUGCUGACAUAAGUAACGAUAAAGCGGGUGAAAAGCCCGCUCGCCGGAAGACCAAGGGUUCCUGUCCAACGUUAAUCGGGGCAGGGUGAGUCGACCCCUAAGGCGAGGCCGAAAGGCGUAGUCGAUGGGAAACAGGUUAAUAUUCCUGUACUUGGUGUUACUGCGAAGGGGGGACGGAGAAGGCUAUGUUGGCCGGGCGACGGUUGUCCCGGUUUAAGCGUGUAGGCUGGUUUUCCAGGCAAAUCCGGAAAAUCAAGGCUGAGGCGUGAUGACGAGGCACUACGGUGCUGAAGCAACAAAUGCCCUGCUUCCAGGAAAAGCCUCUAAGCAUCAGGUAACAUCAAAUCGUACCCCAAACCGACACAGGUGGUCAGGUAGAGAAUACCAAGGCGCUUGAGAGAACUCGGGUGAAGGAACUAGGCAAAAUGGUGCCGUAACUUCGGGAGAAGGCACGCUGAUAUGUAGGUGAAGCGACUUGCUCGUGGAGCUGAAAUCAGUCGAAGAUACCAGCUGGCUGCAACUGUUUAUUAAAAACACAGCACUGUGCAAACACGAAAGUGGACGUAUACGGUGUGACGCCUGCCCGGUGCCGGAAGGUUAAUUGAUGGGGUUAGCGCAAGCGAAGCUCUUGAUCGAAGCCCCGGUAAACGGCGGCCGUAACUAUAACGGUCCUAAGGUAGCGAAAUUCCUUGUCGGGUAAGUUCCGACCUGCACGAAUGGCGUAAUGAUGGCCAGGCUGUCUCCACCCGAGACUCAGUGAAAUUGAACUCGCUGUGAAGAUGCAGUGUACCCGCGGCAAGACGGAAAGACCCCGUGAACCUUUACUAUAGCUUGACACUGAACAUUGAGCCUUGAUGUGUAGGAUAGGUGGGAGGCUUUGAAGUGUGGACGCCAGUCUGCAUGGAGCCGACCUUGAAAUACCACCCUUUAAUGUUUGAUGUUCUAACGUUGACCCGUAAUCCGGGUUGCGGACAGUGUCUGGUGGGUAGUUUGACUGGGGCGGUCUCCUCCUAAAGAGUAACGGAGGAGCACGAAGGUUGGCUAAUCCUGGUCGGACAUCAGGAGGUUAGUGCAAUGGCAUAAGCCAGCUUGACUGCGAGCGUGACGGCGCGAGCAGGUGCGAAAGCAGGUCAUAGUGAUCCGGUGGUUCUGAAUGGAAGGGCCAUCGCUCAACGGAUAAAAGGUACUCCGGGGAUAACAGGCUGAUACCGCCCAAGAGUUCAUAUCGACGGCGGUGUUUGGCACCUCGAUGUCGGCUCAUCACAUCCUGGGGCUGAAGUAGGUCCCAAGGGUAUGGCUGUUCGCCAUUUAAAGUGGUACGCGAGCUGGGUUUAGAACGUCGUGAGACAGUUCGGUCCCUAUCUGCCGUGGGCGCUGGAGAACUGAGGGGGGCUGCUCCUAGUACGAGAGGACCGGAGUGGACGCAUCACUGGUGUUCGGGUUGUCAUGCCAAUGGCACUGCCCGGUAGCUAAAUGCGGAAGAGAUAAGUGCUGAAAGCAUCUAAGCACGAAACUUGCCCCGAGAUGAGUUCUCCCUGACCCUUUAAGGGUCCUGAAGGAACGUUGAAGACGACGACGUUGAUAGGCCGGGUGUGUAAGCGCAGCGAUGCGUUGAGCUAACCGGUACUAAUGAACCGUGAGGCUUAACCUUACAACGCCGAAGCUGUU
RNAcentral lists this ribosomal RNA (2930 nucleotides) under Escherichia coli. Its description in RNAcentral is "bacterial LSU rRNA". It matches the Rfam family "Bacterial large subunit ribosomal RNA". The record is from RNAcentral. Lineage: Bacteria; Pseudomonadati; Pseudomonadota; Gammaproteobacteria; Enterobacterales; Enterobacteriaceae.